Non-coding RNA from Podarcis muralis (Common wall lizard), 749 nucleotides. The record is from RefSeq and is a predicted model, not a curated record. Lineage: Eukaryota; Metazoa; Chordata; Lepidosauria; Squamata; Lacertidae.
GUCGCGGUCGCGCGUGUCUCCUCCUGGGGGGCCGCCCUUCCCCCCGCGCCGGGGUGGCCUCGGCUGCGGGUUGUCAAGUUUCAGCCCCGUCAGAGACGGAGCCGCGCCUGGCGGGUGUUUCGCCUCCCCGCAAGCGGGUUGUUUUGUGCGCCGCCUUUCUCCCGAGAGGGGCUCGAGGCGGCUGACAGAUCGGGAACGUAGAAAAGGCGACAAUUAGAAAGCACACAGAGUCCUUUCCAGGCCUGUGCUCGGGUGGGGGGGGGUGGUGAAGGACACAAGCGUCUCAUUUCGCUUGGAGAGGUGUCAGCUGCUGUGGAGGUUGCCCUUGGGGGACAGAAAGCCGGGAUUUCGUCCCGUGGGUUAUUGGGCCCCAAAGAGAAGCCCACACCAAAGUCUCCCUCCCUCCACGCCGCCAGAAGAAACUCAGGAAUGUAAAUAGUCUUUUGCUUGGUUGCCUGUAGGAAAUAGUGUACUGCAGUGCCCUCUGCUAGCCAGGCAUGCAUUCCCCCUGAGUCACCCCAUCGGGGUGCUACAAAUUACAAACAAUUGUGUCUCCAGGUGGGUAGGCUAGUAAAUUAUUUGUGGGCUCGCGCUUUCGUGGUCUUUCCCUCCCAAGACUAAAUCUGGAAAAACGUUUGUCAGCAAAUCAGAUCUUCCGCAUCCCAUGUGUUGGACAAGUAAGGGGUUAUUAUGUGGACUGGAGGAUGGUACGUGAUGUUAAGAGAAGGAAGAUGGCUUUUGAAUAUGCA